GGAUUGACACAUCGGUCGUGCCUUAAGGGGUAUGAACUGGUGUAGUCAAUUUCUCACCUUCUGGAGAACCGCGAUGCCCUUAAUUGGGUGUCACGGGGGAACCAGGGACCUUUUACUUUGAAAAAUUUAGAGUAGUUUUAAAGCAGGCAUUUUGCUUGAAUACAUUAGCAUGGAAUAAUAAAUAGGACGGCAUGAUUCUAUUUUGUUGGUUUCUAGGAUCACCGUAAUGAUUAAUAGGGAUAGUUGGG
This 248-nucleotide ribosomal RNA is filed under the name uncultured Entrophospora. Its description in RNAcentral is "uncultured Claroideoglomus partial 18S ribosomal RNA". The stretch from base 41 to 248 matches the Rfam family "Eukaryotic small subunit ribosomal RNA", at positions 680 to 886 of the family's 1831-position model. Lineage: Eukaryota; Fungi; Glomeromycota; Glomeromycetes; Entrophosporales; Entrophosporaceae. The record is from RNAcentral.